AUCCAGCUGACGAGUCCGAGAUGGGACGAAACGCGCGUCAAACUGGAU
Molecule: non-coding RNA, 48 nt
Filed under: Schistosoma mansoni
Lineage: Eukaryota; Metazoa; Platyhelminthes; Trematoda; Strigeidida; Schistosomatidae
Source: RNAcentral